AAUUCACAGGUUUUGUUGUAGGUGAUGCUACAUAUGUGCAGAAAAAACGACAUGUUAGUACAUCAGUUGAGGAAAAUCCCUAAAUGACAUCAAUAACAUGCUGUAAUUGGAUUUUGAUGUUCUAUUUAUUACAUCUUCUGAUAGAUUAAAAUGUUACACCAAUGAGAGCAUUUUAAAACUCUGCCAGACUCACACCUAUUGGACUGAUGGACAUCAUUUAUUCAGAAAUGAUAAAUCACGACAAAUAAAGAUAGACGGCUAUGAACAGCAACAUGUAAGUGUAAAAAAACAACAACAUUAUGACUUCUUUGUUUUCAGAUUGUGCUUGUUCUAUUUUUAAACAAAGAAAACAAUCCGAAGUUGUCUUUACUUUUAAGUUAUCAUGACAUCAUUUUAGCAGUCCGGCCCACUUGGGAAUAGGUUUUCCUCCAUGUGGCCCCAGAGCUUAAAUGAGUUUGACACCCCUGCACAAGGAGGUGCAUCUGGGGAUUGCUAUGAUCAACUGUGAUGAUGAACAGUCAGUAUUCCUUCCUAGUGAAGAGAAGAUUCUCAAAGAUGACUGGACAUGCAGUCCAAAAGUGGCUGUGACCUGAUGGAGUCUUCUUGGUCAUGUAUGCCAAGAUGCUAGAUGCAGCAGCAAGUGUGACCGUAAAAUAAGUGGAAAUAGAUUAUGUGUGAACUUGUCAACACUUUCUGUGGAGUCAUAUUGGGCUCCAUCGGGUGUUUGCCAUAGCGUUCAUAGCUGAUAUUCCGACAGGUGACUUCUUCCCGGAAGUAAAAACCAGUGGUGGUCAACAUACUCUAGACUUUAAAUGGACCCCCCUUUUAGACAAGUUGAUCUGACGUCUUUUUUCUGCUCUUCCCUCCUCUCCUGCGUGGAGAGGUUAUUAGGUGACCACAAAUUCAAGGUCGGGACCCAGGUUGUAGUUGGGGACCUCUCUGCGCUGCUGACUUGUCUCCAUUAAAAAUGAUCCCCUGCUGGCCCCACUAUGGACUGGACUCUCACACUAUUAACUAGAUCCACUUGACAUCCAUUGCACCGGUUGCCCGUUUUUUUUCUUGCCCUGAUGUGGGAUCUGAGCCGAGGAUGUCGUUGUGGCUUUUGCAGCCCUUUGAGACACUUGUGAAGCCUCGGGCCUGCGGCGGGACUUGUGGAACCCCAUUCUGGGGUGCCUUUUGGUCAUUCAUUGUGCAGCUCGUGGCGGGACUUGUGGAACUCUAUUCUGGACACUAUUCUACACGACAAAACAAAUGGAAACUUGGAAUAGCAUGGAGGUCUACAACUUCUUUGUGUGUGGCUGCAUCAAGGAAAUUGGUAUCAAGACUCUACGGGAUAAAUUCUGCAUUGUUUUUGCUCGGGUAAGGUUGCAUUUUAGGAUUUAACUUCAUGUCUAGGGAUGUUUGUUGUUGUUGCGCAUGCCGUUUAUUAGUAACGUGUUUUUCACCGUCUUUAUCAAAAUAUAACUAUAGAUGUCAACAUUGUGUAUGUGCUGAAAGUUUCAUUUAAGAUUGCUGCUUUUGGUAAAAGCUUAACUCUUUCGUGUU
Molecule: long non-coding RNA, 1545 nt
Organism: Nerophis ophidion (straightnose pipefish)
Lineage: Eukaryota; Metazoa; Chordata; Actinopteri; Syngnathiformes; Syngnathidae
Exons: 4
Source: RefSeq, a predicted model, not a curated record